CCCAGACUCCUACGGGAGGCAGCAGUGGGGAAUAUUGCACAAUGGGGGAAACCCUGAUGCAGCAACGCCGCGUGAGUGAAGAAGUCAUUCGUGAUGUAAAGCUCUCUCAGCAGGGAAGAAAAUGACGGUACCUGAGUAAGAAGCCCCGGCUAACUACGUGCCAGCAGCCGCGGUAAUACGUAGGGGGCGAGCGUUAUCCGGAUUCACUGGGUGUAAAGGGAGCGUAGACGGCCAAGCAAGCCAGGGGUGAAAGCCCGGGGCCCAACCCCGGGACUGCCCUUGGAACUGCAUGGCUGGAGUGCGGGAGGGGCAGGCGGAAUUCCAGGUGUAGGAGUGAAAUCCGUAGAUAUCUGGAGGAACAUCAGUGGCGAAGGCGACUAUCUGGCACAUAACUGACGCUGAGGAGCGAAAGCGUGGGUAGCAAACAGGAUUAGAUACCCGUGUAAU
Molecule: ribosomal RNA, 447 nt
Filed under: uncultured bacterium
Lineage: Bacteria
Description: bacterial SSU rRNA
Rfam family: Bacterial small subunit ribosomal RNA
Source: RNAcentral